This 325-nucleotide ribosomal RNA is filed under the name uncultured Actinomycetes bacterium. Its description in RNAcentral is "bacterial SSU rRNA". It matches the Rfam family "Bacterial small subunit ribosomal RNA", at positions 28 to 351 of the family's 1533-position model. The record is from RNAcentral. Lineage: Bacteria; Bacillati; Actinomycetota; Actinomycetes.
GACGAACGCUGGCGGCGUGCUUAACACAUGCAAGUCGAACGGUGAAGCAGGAGCUUGCUCCUGUGGAUCAGUGGCGAACGGGUGAGUAACACGUGAGCAAUCUGCCCUGGACUCUGGGAUAAGCGUUGGAAACGACGUCUAAUACCGGAUACGAGACGUGAAGGCAUCUUCAACGUCUGGAAAGAACUUCGGUCCAGGAUGAGCUCGCGGCCUAUCAGGUAGUUGGUGAGGUAAUGGCUCACCAAGCCUACGACGGGUAGCCGGCCUGAGAGGGUGACCGGCCACACUGGGACUGAGACACGGCCCAGACUCCUACGGGUGGCUG